GAAAUAUAUACAUAAAAUUAAAAUUAAGCUGCUAACUUAAUUUUUAGUGGUUAAACCCAUUAAUAUUUCU
Molecule: transfer RNA, 70 nt
Filed under: Adhemarius dariensis
Lineage: Eukaryota; Metazoa; Arthropoda; Insecta; Lepidoptera; Sphingidae
Description: tRNA-Ser
Source: RNAcentral